CACGUAGGGCGCAAGCGUUGUCCGGAAUUAUUGGGCGUAAAGAGCUCGUAGGCGGUCUGUUGCGUCUGCUGUGAAAACUCGGGGCUUAACCCCGAGCCUGCAGUGGAUACGGGCAGACUAGAGGUAGGUAGGGGAGAAUGGAAUUCCCGGUGUAGCGGUGAAAUGCGCAGAUAUCGGGAGGAACACCGGUGGCGAAGGCGGUUCUCUGGGCCUUACCUGACGCUGAGGAGCGAAAGCCAGGGGAGCGAACAGG
RNAcentral lists this ribosomal RNA (253 nucleotides) under uncultured bacterium. Its description in RNAcentral is "partial 16S ribosomal RNA". It matches the Rfam family "Bacterial small subunit ribosomal RNA", at positions 524 to 776 of the family's 1533-position model. The record is from RNAcentral.